UACGUAGGUCCCGAGCGUUGUCUGGAUUUAUUGGGCGUAAAGCGAGCGCAGGUGGUUUAAUAAGUCUGAUGUAAAAGGCAGUGGCUCAACCAUUGUGUGCAUUGGAAACUGUUAGGCUUGAGUGCAGUAGAGGAGAGUGGAAUUCCAUGUGUAGCGGUGAAAUGCGUAGAUAUAUGGAGGAACACCGGUGGCGAAAGCGGCUCUCUGGACUGUAACUGACACUGAGGCUCGAAAGCGUGGGUAGCAAACAGG
Molecule: ribosomal RNA, 252 nt
Filed under: uncultured microorganism
Description: partial 16S ribosomal RNA
Rfam family: Bacterial small subunit ribosomal RNA
Source: RNAcentral